Molecule: long non-coding RNA, 847 nt
Filed under: Carica papaya (papaya)
Lineage: Eukaryota; Viridiplantae; Streptophyta; Magnoliopsida; Brassicales; Caricaceae
Description: long non-coding RNA (CPAP_LNC012371)
Source: RNAcentral
AUUCCUGGCUUCCACUGUGAAGCCUGUGGUAGCACUAUGACUAAAGGAAAACAUCAACAUACUACAGUAAUUUGAUAACAUUAUAUGGUAACAUUUCAUAGUCAAUUACCAUAAAAUGUCAUUAAUUUAGUGGUGAGAGUUAUGCACCGAGUACAGGACCUAAUGUUUUCGUACUAAAAAGAAAGAACCAAAAAAAGAAACAAAAGCAUUCCCCAGUAUCAUAUGAAUUUCCCUUUUAACAUAAAAUGCUAUAACUUUGUAAGACAUUACCAGCAACAAUCAUCUAUGCCAUGUCAAAUAGGAAACACAUGGCCAAAACUACAACCAAAAUCACCUCCAACAUGAAGAGCCUACCCACAAAUGCUUUUCGUGAAGGCAGAAUAAACUAACCACCUUUGCAAUAGCAAAAGCUAAUAGAUAGGACUCCAUCCUACAUGAAAACUUUUAAUCAUACAUAUAUCAAAUUGUACUAACAAGUAGUCUCCCAGUAUGGUUAUCAAAAGGAUAAGGAGUAGUAACAUAAAAAUAACGAAUUCAGCAAAUCAAAGGCUAAUAUGUUUUCUGAUUUCUGAAUACUCGAACAUAAUGAGACAUUGAAUGAUUAAAGCCUUCACUAUUUAAAUCAGCUUAGGGCGAUAAGCAGAUUGCUACAACGGGUACAAAGUAGAUGCAAAUGACCUAGUAAAAAAAUCACCGAAAUAAACUUGAUACUUAUAUACUGAGUUACUCGCAGCAACUAAAGUUGAAGGCCUAUGAAGGUGAUGCAGCAAACAAUGUGAUAUAAAAUUGAUCACUUGAAUGCAAAAAAACAAACAAAAUUAACUCACAAAACUGAUGUAAAAAAGGC